UGGAAUGUCUUUCAAAUCCCAUUUCCCCAGG
This 31-nucleotide non-coding RNA is filed under the name Mus musculus (house mouse). The record is from RNAcentral. Lineage: Eukaryota; Metazoa; Chordata; Mammalia; Rodentia; Muridae.